This 253-nucleotide ribosomal RNA is filed under the name uncultured bacterium. Its description in RNAcentral is "partial 16S ribosomal RNA". It matches the Rfam family "Bacterial small subunit ribosomal RNA", at positions 524 to 776 of the family's 1533-position model. The record is from RNAcentral.
UACGGAGGGUGCAAGCGUUGUCCGGAUUUAUUGGGUUUAAAGGGUGCGUAGGCGGCUCCAUAAGUCAGCGUUGAAAUACGGCAGCUUAACUGUCGGACUGGCAUUGAUACUGUGGAGCUUGAGUAAAGUUGAGGUAGGCGGAAUUGAUGGUGUAGCGGUGAAAUGCUUAGAUAUCAUCAAGAACAUCGAUUGCGAAGGCAGCUUACUAAGUUUUAACUGACGCUGAGGCACGAAAGCGUGGGGAGCGAACAGG